RNAcentral lists this unclassified non-coding RNA (368 nucleotides) under uncultured fungus. RNAcentral's name for it is "partial contains small subunit ribosomal RNA, internal transcribed spacer 1, and 5.8S ribosomal RNA". The stretch from base 1 to 73 matches the Rfam family "Eukaryotic small subunit ribosomal RNA", at positions 1759 to 1831 of the family's 1831-position model. The record is from RNAcentral. Lineage: Eukaryota; Fungi.
GCAAACUUGGUCAUUUAGAGGAAGUAAAAGUCGUAACAAGGUUUCCGUAGGUGAACCUGCGGAAGGAUCAUUAUUGAACUUUGAACCUUGUAGUUGAGCUGGCUCUUCGGGGCAUGUGCUUGCUGCAUUGUUUUUUGUUUCCACCUGUGCACCUUUUGUAGACUGUUGGAUAACUAUUGCUUAGCUGGCAACAGCUAAGGCAGAUUGCUGGGUUAGUUGUAAUGACUUCCCGGUGCUUUCCAGUGGUCUAUGUUUAUAUCAUUUCAAAAAGUAUAGAAUGUCUUCGUUAAUGGACUAACGUCCUAUAACAACUUAAUACAACUUUCAACAACGGAUCUCUUGGCUCUCCCAUCGAUGAAGAACGCAGC